Molecule: ribosomal RNA, 496 nt
Filed under: uncultured bacterium
Lineage: Bacteria
Description: partial 16S ribosomal RNA
Rfam family: Bacterial small subunit ribosomal RNA
Source: RNAcentral
GACGAACGCUGGCGGCGUGCCUAAUACAUGCAAGUUGAGCGCUGAAGGGUGGUACUUGUACCAACUGGGUGAGCAGCGAACGGGUGAGUAACGCGUGGGGAAUCUGCCUUUGAGCGGGGGACAACAUUUGGAAACGAAUGCUAAUACCGCAUAAAAACUUUAAACACAAGGUUUAAGUUUGAAAGAUGCAAUUGCAUCACUCAAAGAUGAUCCCGCGUUGUAUUAGCUAGUUGGUAAGGUAAAGGCUCACCAAGGGGAUGAAACAUAGCCGACCUGAGAGGGUGAUCGACCCCGUGGGAACGGGGACACCCCCCAGCCCCCUCGGGGGGGCAGCAGUGGGGAAUCUUCGGCAUUGGGCGAAAGCCGGACGGAGCACCGCGGCGUGGGUGAUAAGGUUCUUCGGAUCUUAAACCUUUGUUAUUGGGAAGGACCAUAUGUGGAGGGAACUGUGCACGACGUGACGGUACCUAAUCAGAAAGCCACGGCUAACUACGUG